ACGGGACUACUUAUCGAUGUUAUUCAAACUCCCAAACCCUAUGUGAACUUACCACUUGUUGCUUCGGCGCGCGCUUCGGCGCCGCCGAGGACACUUAAACUCUUUGUUUUUAUAAGCAUUUCUGAGUGGCCGAAAGGCAAAAAUACAAAUGAAUCAAAACUUUCAACAACGGAUCUCUUGGGUUCUGGCAUCGAUGAAGAACGCAGCGAAAUGCGAUAAGUAAUGUGAAUUGCAGAAUUCAGUGAAUCAUCGAAUCUUUGAACGCACAUUGCGCCCGCCAGCAUUCUGGCGGGCAUGCCUGUUCGAGCGUCAUUUCAACCCUCGAGCCCGACUCUUCGGAGGACGGCUCGGCGUUGGGGGACGGCAGACUCCCCCCGGCAUCUCGCCGGGGACGCCGCCCCCGAAAUUUAGUGGCGGCCCUCCGAGGCGACCUCUGCGUAGUAACUUGUUCUCGCACCGGAAAGCUCAGAGCGGCCACGCCGUAAAACCCCAACUUUUUUUAGGUUGACCUCGAAUCAGGUAGGACUACCCGCUGAACUUAAGCAUAUC
This 549-nucleotide ribosomal RNA is filed under the name Leptobacillium leptobactrum. Its description in RNAcentral is "eukaryotic LSU rRNA". The stretch from base 158 to 312 matches the Rfam family "5.8S ribosomal RNA". The record is from RNAcentral. Lineage: Eukaryota; Fungi; Ascomycota; Sordariomycetes; Hypocreales; Cordycipitaceae.